UACGAAGGGGGCAAGCGUUGUUCGGAAUUACUGGGCGUAAAGGGCGCGUAGGCGGCCGAUCAAGUCAGGCGUGAAAUUCCCGGGCUCAACCUGGGGGCUGCGCUUGAUACUGAUUGGCUUGAAUGCGGGAGAGGAUAGUGGAAUUCCCAGUGUAGAGGUGAAAUUCGUAGAUAUUGGGAAGAACACCGGGGCGAAGGCGGCUAUCUGGCCCGUAAUUGACGCUGAGGCGCGAAAGCGUGGGGAGCAAACAGG
This 252-nucleotide ribosomal RNA is filed under the name uncultured bacterium. Its description in RNAcentral is "partial 16S ribosomal RNA". It matches the Rfam family "Bacterial small subunit ribosomal RNA", at positions 524 to 776 of the family's 1533-position model. The record is from RNAcentral.